AUUCCGCUGAAUUUAAGCAUAUAAGUAAGUGGUGGAAAUUAAACCAACUGGGAUCUCUUCAGUAAUUGCGCAUGAACCAGGAUAUGCUUAGCUUGACAAAUGGAGCCGCUGGCUCUGAAUUGUAUUGUGGGAAUGUAUUACCAACAGAGGUGCAGGUGUCAGCCAUUUGAAAGAAAGCAUCAAUGAGGGUGAGAGUCCUGUUUGUCAUGUGCAGCCUUCUGUGCACGGUGUAUAUUUGCUGAGUCACACUCCUUGGCAUUGGAAUGCAAAGUGGGUGGUAAGUUUCAUGCAAAGGUAAAUAUGCAAUUGAGACUGAUAGCGCACAAGUACCAUGAGGAACAUAUGAAAAGGACUUUGAAAAGAGAAUUAAAUGAGUUUGUAUUUGCUAAACACAAAGUAAACAGACUUGAUUUCCUCAGUGAGAUUGUAGUGCUUGCUUAACAAUGGGUUUUGGCUGCAAGUGCAAUAAUUCUUGCUUUGUGUGCCAGUUUUUAUGUGGACAUUUGAUUACCUUUGCACAUGAAUGGUAAUUUUCCUGCGGGGUGUGGAUUGCAUAUGCAUGUAAUGAUUUGCAUGUUUGUUAAAUGUGUCUGGUGUAUUUGUUUGUGUCCUUGUCCUUGAGGUUGCUUUCUCCCUUGGGCUUACAUGCCCUGGCACACACAUUCUGGCAAAAUGCUUCUGCUUGACCCGUCUUGAAAAU
This 700-nucleotide ribosomal RNA is filed under the name Alexandrium tamarense. RNAcentral describes it as "LSU rRNA". It matches the Rfam family "Eukaryotic large subunit ribosomal RNA", at positions 24 to 661 of the family's 3401-position model. The record is from RNAcentral. Lineage: Eukaryota; Dinophyceae; Gonyaulacales; Pyrocystaceae.